This is a long non-coding RNA of Zingiber officinale, 487 nucleotides long. RefSeq lists it as uncharacterized. The record is from RefSeq and is a predicted model, not a curated record. The transcript is spliced from 2 exons. NCBI's taxonomy places the organism in Eukaryota, Viridiplantae, Streptophyta, Magnoliopsida, Zingiberales, Zingiberaceae.
CCUUGCUCCAGCACUAAGCUGUUUUUCAUGUGGUUCUUUAUGCUGAGUCAGUGUCACGAAGAUGAUCCUACACAAACUUCAUUGAUGUCUGGACUUCCAACAAGACAUUCUUUUCCCUGAUCCCGGCGCCCGCCCUGCCACCGGACUUCCCGCCUGACUCGACGCCAUCAUUUACGUUCCUUCAGCCUUUCUUCUUGUCACCACCACCGGCGCCUCCGACAGGUGCAGCGGGCUGCCAUCGGGCUGCGAUGGGAUUGACACUAGCGGCGCUUUGGAUUUAAUUGAUUAUAUUUAAAUGUAUUGGUUAUGUAUAUCUGAGAGAAAUAAUCUAAUUUUUCCUAGCAAAUUUGUUUAUUUUGCAGAUCAUCUCUCUAAGAAAUAUCGAUUGAUAUUACAUUGAAAUGAAGGAUUCUCCACAUAGAGAUGGCAGAAGCUAGAAUCAGAACUUACUCAGAUCUAAAGCUUCCUAACCACUUAACCAAAACCC